UACGUAGGGUGCGAGCGUUGUCCGGAAUUAUUGGGCGUAAAGGGCUCGUAGGCGGUCUGUUGCGUCGGGAGUGAAAACUCAGGGCUUAACCCUGAGCCUGCUUCUGAUACGGGCAGACUAGAGGUAUGCAGGGGAGAACGGAAUUCCUGGUGUAGCGGUGAAAUGCGCAGAUAUCAGGAGGAACACCGGUGGCGAAGGCGGUUCUCUGGGCAUUACCUGACGCUGAGGAGCGAAAGUGUGGGGAGCGAACAGG
Molecule: ribosomal RNA, 253 nt
Filed under: uncultured bacterium
Lineage: Bacteria
Description: partial 16S ribosomal RNA
Rfam family: Bacterial small subunit ribosomal RNA
Source: RNAcentral